CUGAAUUAUAAUAAAUUGAGGAUAAAAUGGCGAAAUUUUUAUAAACUCGAUAAACCUAUGCACCAUCAACCAAACGAAAAUAUGGAGAAAUUCAAUAAUGUCUCAUAAUCGAGAAUUUAGUAAACUUCUAGUGACGAAAUCCCCAAUUGAUUGUCAUACAAGUGUCCAUAUCAUAAAUCAAAUUUGAAGGAAAACAAAAUAAUAGGAGUUACUAUUUAAUCAGAGAUAUGAAGAGAAAGAGGAGUACAAAAAUUGGCUCAUCCAUGGCCAAUUUGUUAUGCAAAUUUCAAUCAAAUUUUCGGCACAGCGGAGAAACUGGGACAAAUUGUUUAGCAAAGAGGCAACAAAAGCACAAGUUGAUCUAACACAAAACACAAUAAGACACGUACUAAUACAGAAUUUUGCAAAUUUCAUGCCCUCAUAGGAACAUGCAGAUUAAGAUUUAAAGAAAAUAGAGAUCACAUAAUAAUGUCUAUGAAGUUUCUCUUUCAAGAUCCGUCAAGUACAUGCUCGUACUUGAUUUAUCUCAAAUUUUCAAGGCCUCGCAGGAGCCUUUAGACAAAGAUUAGUCUCAAGGAGGCACGCAUGUAUGGUAAAUCAAGGGAAAAACUAGAAACCCUAAUUUCUGAAAAAUAGGAUUUACUAAAAAUUAAAAGAUCUCACCCAACAAGUUUGAAAAAAAAAUCGAUUUCGUUCAAAUCUACUUGACAGCAAUUCCAAAAAUUUAGAUCCAGUACAGAUCGAAAACUUUCUCCAAGAUCCAGGUAUCUUGCUCCUCAAAAAAGGCUCCGAUACCAUUGUAGGACCAAAGAUCACACAAUAUCAUUGUUUGAGUCGCAAAGAUAAACGAUUUGCAAAAAGUAAAAGUGCAGAAAAUUAAAGAAUAAACACAAAGAAUUAUUUCAACCCAAGCCUCGGAGGUUCGGCGCCAUAUCUAACGUCUACAUCCCAUUUGAGCAUCCAAUAAUAUGGAUUAUGCUCGGUUGCACUAGAUCGUCCAAAUUGGCAACAAAAAGACAGAAGUUUAACCCAAUACAAAAGAGAUAAAGAACAAAACACUUAUCUCUCUGAAAAUCCCAGAAGAGAAAAUCUAAUCAAUCAACUCCACCAGAACUCUUGUUCUCACAAAUAUUAACUUAGAAUAUCACACAUUAGGGAAAACAUCACACAAAUUACAGAUCUCAAAUCAAAAAUUUGAGAAACAAGAAGAAAACCAUAAUGAACUCAAGAGAUAUUUUUCUCUCAGAACCAAGAGUCUCAAAAACCAAACGAAAAGUUGAG
This 1281-nucleotide long non-coding RNA is filed under the name Olea europaea subsp. europaea. The record is from RNAcentral. Lineage: Eukaryota; Viridiplantae; Streptophyta; Magnoliopsida; Lamiales; Oleaceae.